Molecule: long non-coding RNA, 711 nt
Filed under: Rattus norvegicus (Norway rat)
Lineage: Eukaryota; Metazoa; Chordata; Mammalia; Rodentia; Muridae
Description: long non-coding RNA NONRATT021916
Source: RNAcentral
UCCCUGUCUCCUGGAUGUGUGGAUGAAAUGUCAUGCCUCUGUCAUGCCUCCUUUGCCACAUGGACUUUAUCCCCUUGGGACUGAAGCCAAAAUUACACUUCCUUCCUUAACUUGCUGUUGGUCAUGAGACUUUUAUCACAACAACAGAAAGAUCUACGGGAUGAAGCCCAUAUGGUGAAGAAGGUUGGAGGAAGGUGCCGGAUUUCCAGGAAGUGAAGAUACAGAUGGUUGCCGACUGCCAAGCGGAUGCUAGGAACUGAGCGUAGGUCCUCCAGGAGAGCAGCCAGCGCUGGUCACUGCUGAGCCAUCUCUCCGAAAAGUUUUAUCACUGUACGACUGAAGAGGACUUCAUGGGACCUGCACGUCUCAUUUUAUCCUGUUAUUGUCACGUUAACAGCGAGCAGUGAACAAGGGUGUGAGUCCUGACAACUGGUUUCAUUUCUUCUGGAGACAGUGGUGGGGUUGCUGUUCCUAUGGUCACCCUAUUUUUAAUUCUUGAGAGUCCCCAUAGUGCUUUCUAAGAUAGGUCUGAGCGACCUCUCCCACAGUGUUUGAGAAUUUGACUGUGCACCCUCGCCAGCACCUACUGUAAUCAUUUCGAUCAUAGUUGUCCUUCCUGGGGUCACGACAGGGACACGGGCUGUACUUCCUAGAGAUGCUGACCUUGCCCUGGGCCUGCAGAUGUCUAAUGGGUAACUAGAAGAAGAGAAA